Molecule: non-coding RNA, 23 nt
Filed under: Cricetulus griseus (Chinese hamster)
Lineage: Eukaryota; Metazoa; Chordata; Mammalia; Rodentia; Cricetidae
Source: RNAcentral
ACUGACAGUGGAAUGGGAAGGGA